AGAGUUUGAUCCUGGCUCAGAUUGAACGCUGGCGGUAUGCUUUACACAUGCAAGUCGAACGGGCUUGGGGGCUUGCUCCCAGGUUAGUGGCGAACGGGUGAGUAAUAUAUCGGAACAUAUCCGGAAGUGGGGGAUAAGCGUAAUCGAAAGUUGACGCUAAUACCGCAUAUGCCCUGAGGGGGAAAGGGGGGGAUCGCAAGACCUCUCGGCUUUCGGACGUGGCCGAUACCGGAUUAUGCUAGAUGGUGAGGUAGAAGGCUCACCAUGGCGACGAUCCGAUAGACGGGUCUGAGAGGACGACCCGCCACACUGGAACUGAGACACGGUCACAGACUCCUACAGGGAGGCAGCAGUGGGGAAUUGUUGGACUAAUGGGCGCAAGCCUGAUCCAGCCAUACCGCGUGAGUGAAUGAAGUCCUUACGGGUUGUAAAGCUCUUUCAGCCGGAAAAGAAAAUGGCUUCUAUUUAAUACUAAGGAAUAGAUGACGGUACCGGAAGAAGAAGCACCGGCUAACUACGUGCCAGCAGCCGCGGUAAUACGUAGGGUGCGAGCGUUAAUCGGAAUUACUGGGCGUAAAGCGUGCGCAGGCGGUUUGGUAAGACAAUGUAAAAACCCCGGGCUUAACCUGGGAACUGCAUUUGUGACUGCCAGACUAGAGUGUAGCAGAGGGGGGUAGAAAUCCACGUGUAGAAGUNAAAUGCGUAAAGAUGUGGAGGAAUAACGAUGGCGAAGGCAGCCCCCUGGGCUAAACACUGACGCUCAUGCGCGAAAGCGUGGGGAGCAAACAGNAUUAGAUACCCUGGAAAGACCACGCCCUAAACGAUGUCAACUAGGGGUUGGGGAAGGAGACUUCAUUUAGUACCGCAGCUAACGCGUGAAGUUGACCGCCUGGGGAGUACGGUCGCAAGAUUAAAACUCAAAGGAAUUGACGGGGACCCGCACAAGCGGUGGAUUAUGUGGAUUAAUUCGAUGCAACGCGAACCACCUUACCUACCCUUGACAUGUAAGGAUUUUCCCAGAGAUGGGAUGGUGCCUGGAAAGGAAACCAAGACCCAAGGUGCUGCAGGGCUGUCGCAAGUUCGUUUCGUGAGAUGUUGGGUUUUAGCCCGCCAACGAGCGCAACCAAUUGUCAUUAAUUGCCAUCAUUUAGUUGGGCACUUUAAUGAGACUCCCGGUGAUAAACCGGAGGAAGGUGGGGAUGACGUCAAGUCCUCAUGGCCCUUAUGGGUAGGGCUUCACACGUAAUACAAUGGCCGGUCCAGAGGGUUGCCACCCCGCGAGGGGGAGCUAAUCCCAGAAAGCCGUUCGUAGCCCGGAUCGGAGUCUGCAACUCGACUCCGUGAAGUCGGAAUCGCUAGUAAUCGCGGAUCAGCAUGUCGCGGUGAAUACGUUCCCGGGCCUUGUACACACCGCCC
Molecule: ribosomal RNA, 1416 nt
Filed under: uncultured bacterium
Lineage: Bacteria
Description: bacterial SSU rRNA
Rfam family: Bacterial small subunit ribosomal RNA
Source: RNAcentral